Molecule: ribosomal RNA, 271 nt
Filed under: uncultured bacterium
Lineage: Bacteria
Description: partial 16S ribosomal RNA
Rfam family: Bacterial small subunit ribosomal RNA
Source: RNAcentral
UACGUAGGGUGCGAGCGUUAAUCGGAAUUACUGGGCGUAAAGCGUGCGCAGGCGGUUUGGUAAGACAGGCGUGAAAUCCCCGGGCUCAACCUGGGAACUGCGUUUAUGACUGGCAGGCUAGAGUAUGGCAGAGGGGGGUGGAAUUCCACGUGUAGCAGUGAAAUGCGUAGAGAUGUGGAGGAAUACCGAUGGCGAAGGCAGCCCCCUGGGAUAACACUGACGCUCAUGCACGAAAGCGUGGGGAGCAAACAGGAUUAGAUACCCGGGUAGU